GACAUAGGUGGCGAACGUUAUCCGGAAUUAUUGGGCGUAAAGGGUGCGUAGGUGGCCUGACAAGUUAUCAGUGGCAAAUCGAGGCUCAACCUCGUGGAAACUGGUAAUACUGUCCGGCUUGAGUACAGGAGAGGUUAACGGAACUCUAUGUGGAGCGGUAAAAUGCACAGAUAUAUAGAAGAACAUCAAUAAAGGCGAAGGCAGUUAACUAUUCUGUUACUGACGCUGAGGCACGAAAGCGUGGGGAGCAAAACGG
Molecule: ribosomal RNA, 256 nt
Filed under: uncultured bacterium
Lineage: Bacteria
Description: partial 16S ribosomal RNA
Rfam family: Bacterial small subunit ribosomal RNA
Source: RNAcentral